AUGGCUUCUUUCAACCCAAAAGACCCCUUUGCUGCUUUUAACUUGGACAACUUAGUGAAGCUAGCCGAGUUUUAUCCAGAUGACUUUGAUUCAAGAAAAUUGGAUGAUCUUGGUCGUGAACUUCGCACUUACAUUGACAAUGUGCGAGCAGAUGAAAGGUUCACCAAUUUGGAUGGAAUCACCGAUCUUGCUAAACUAAUGUGUUCCAGGAAGAUCUACAAAGUUAUCUGA
Molecule: ribosomal RNA, 231 nt
Filed under: Triticum aestivum (bread wheat)
Lineage: Eukaryota; Viridiplantae; Streptophyta; Magnoliopsida; Poales; Poaceae
Description: partial small subunit ribosomal RNA
Source: RNAcentral